Molecule: non-coding RNA, 21 nt
Filed under: Caenorhabditis elegans
Lineage: Eukaryota; Metazoa; Nematoda; Chromadorea; Rhabditida; Rhabditidae
Source: RNAcentral
UUUGAAUAGUAUAUUGCAAGU